CAGGGAUCUUAAGUCGAUUGUUUCAAAAAUACAAAAGAAAAUAAUAGAGAUUAUAAGAAAGUCAGAAAGAAAUAAAGAGAUUGCAAUAAAAAUAUCUUUUAUUGAUUAAAUAAAGAAGUAUACAAUGAAAAAAAAAUAAAAGAUCGAUAUAAAGACAACAAAAUCAAGUUGAUCUUCUCGCUGCGUCCGAUGGUGGAUGUGCCUUUUUGAAUCCUUCAUCUUUCUCCAUG
This 230-nucleotide long non-coding RNA is filed under the name Elaeis guineensis (African oil palm). RNAcentral's name for it is "long non-coding RNA (EGUI_LNC076603)". Lineage: Eukaryota; Viridiplantae; Streptophyta; Magnoliopsida; Arecales; Arecaceae. The record is from RNAcentral.